This is a long non-coding RNA of Alexandromys fortis (reed vole), 577 nucleotides long. RefSeq lists it as uncharacterized. The record is from RefSeq and is a predicted model, not a curated record. The transcript is spliced from 6 exons. NCBI's taxonomy places the organism in Eukaryota, Metazoa, Chordata, Mammalia, Rodentia, Cricetidae.
GGCAGGACCUGGGGGAGGUGCACGAGGUGCAGAAAAGGAUGCCGGGCUGCGGAGCUGGCUUGGCCUGAGGAUUAUAAGGAUUCACUAGACAACUCCUGAAAAUGGACUAAAUCCAACUGUCCCAGAAAACAGUGCCAACUUCCAUCUGGAAUCGUGUCACAGCACGCUCUUGGCAAUGCUGACAAAAUCUCUACAUGACAUUUGACGGGCUUCCCAUCACUUGCUCCAGAGAGCCAAGCUGUCCCCCUGCCUCCAGUGUUUAUGUGUCAACCCAGAGCACAGUUCAUCUCUUUCCCUAACUUCAGGGGACAAAGUCUGGAGCGCCCUCAGCCAAAAAUGGUCAGAUAGGACUAAAGAACAGCUGCCUACACGUCAUGUCCAAAGUCUUCACAGUCUCUCGAAUCAAGAUGUAGAACUCUCAGCUCCUUCUCCAGCACUAUGCAUGCCUAUAUGUCGCUGGGUCCAACCAUGACGAUAAUGGACUGAACCUCUGAAACUGAUCCCCUAAAGAUGCAGUCACCCCCAGACAGCUUGAAGUAAAUUUAAGAACACUAUGCCCACACUUCCAAGAGUUGGG